UACGUAGGGUGCAAGCGUUACUCGGAAUUACUGGGCGUAAAGCGUGCGCAGGCGGCUAUGCAAGACAGAUGUGAAAUCCCCGGGCUCAACCUGGGAACUGCAUUUGUGACUGCAUGGCUAGAGUACGGUAGAGGGGGAUGGAAUUCCGCGUGUAGCAGUGAAAUGCGUAGAUAUGCGGAGGAACACCGAUGGCGAAGGCGAUCCCCUGGACCUGUACUGACGCUCAUGCACGAAAGCGUGGGGAGCAAACAGG
This 253-nucleotide ribosomal RNA is filed under the name uncultured bacterium. Its description in RNAcentral is "partial 16S ribosomal RNA". It matches the Rfam family "Bacterial small subunit ribosomal RNA", at positions 524 to 776 of the family's 1533-position model. The record is from RNAcentral.